AUACCUUUCCCAGCCUUUUGGCUAAGAUCAAUUGUACCUGAUCUAUUAUUAUCAUUUUAAUAUUUGAUACAUGGUUCAACAAAACACACAAUAUUAAAUUAAUUUCUCAAGGGAGAAAGUUCUGACAAUAGCUUGCUAUCAAGGCUUUUGGGCAUUGCUUUUGUACCACACUAUUGUAGAAGCAUGGUGCACCCCAC
Small nuclear RNA from Cryptomeria japonica (Japanese cedar), 197 nucleotides. RefSeq annotates it as U2 spliceosomal RNA. NCBI's taxonomy places the organism in Eukaryota, Viridiplantae, Streptophyta, Pinopsida, Cupressales, Cupressaceae. The record is from RefSeq and is a predicted model, not a curated record. The transcript has a single exon.